Molecule: long non-coding RNA, 4481 nt
Filed under: Homo sapiens (human)
Lineage: Eukaryota; Metazoa; Chordata; Mammalia; Primates; Hominidae
Description: HSALNT0221024
Source: RNAcentral
CUACAUGGAACCUUUUAAAUCAUUCAAUGCCAGGUCCAUAAAGACCUCUGUGAUUAACAAAUCAAACCCCUUUCUUUUCAGUCAAGGCACCUGAGACUGAGAGGUAAAGUGACUGUCCUAAGGUUACCAAGCUUGGGCAAGACCAAGGUGAUACUGCCACCAUCUGUUCAUUCUCCUGCCACCUUUUCAACUGGGGUUUAUCCCAACCUCCUCAUUUCACAGAGAAAAACAGAACCAGUGUGAACAGAAACAAUUCACUUGGGAAGAGUGAGCCGAGGCUCUUUUAUCAGUGUAGGUGGUUGAACUUCGGUAGCCACAGGGGACCUGACUUUGAGGACACAAAACACAGGAUCCUUCGUGGUUCACAGUGGUGGUGUUAGGGAGAGGCAGUGAGCCUUGCAUCAUAGGUAGAACACGAUGCAGCUGCAGGUGCAGAGAGUUAUCAGGGAGAGAAGGGCCCAGAAGACUGGGAAAAUGAUAGUGGUGUCAAACAGGAAAAUUACACUGAAAUUACACCAUGUCUUUUUACAUUUUCCUCAGUCUCCGUCUGAGCCACAAGUGCACUGCAGUCAUUUCAGAGAUACAGAAGCUUAUCUUGCUUUUUGAAAAGUUUUUCUUAAUAUUUGUCCUAGGGUCCACAGGAAAUGAAAAACCCAAGGCAUCCCUCGCCCUCUCCCCGCAAGUCACCUGCUAUGAAUACCUGCAUUCAUUCUACAAAGCCUUUAUCAGUCCCUGGAAUGCCACGUAUUUAUUAGCUGUCUCCACACAUUAAGAAUAAGAUGUAUAGAGCAGGAACCUGUCAUUCUUCUCCAUCCUGUCUUCCCAGUGCCUGCCUCAGUGCCUGACACAUAGCAGGUGCUCCAAAGGAAUAAAUAAAUUAGGAAAUCCUACCACCUGCUUCUAGCAUGUAAUAUCUACUACCCUGGAGUGGAAUGAAAGGGUUAUUAAAAUACCCAAUGACAGCCUCAGGUCUUUCCUUCUAGUGUGGAAACUACAGCAAGAACCAACACAAAUUAAAGUGUCUAAAAAAAUCAAUUGGGGCAGGCAUCUUCUUCUGAACUACAUUUACUAGAGCCUGCCACCCACAGAUGUCAAAGGAAUUCACAGGAUUAAAAGAAAAGGCUGGAGGUGAGAAAGUUAAUAACUACUCUUGUGACAUCUAGGGCUGGGCUACAAGUGGUCAGCACAUGGACCUCUCCAUAUAUGUUGUCAGAUGUCAAGGAGUGGCUUUACAGAUAGACAGCCUUGGACCCCAAUGCUAAAUCUUCCACUUAUUAGCACUGUGAUCAUGGGCAAGUUAUUUAACCUCUCCAAACCUCUAUUUCCUAAUCUCUACCACAGAGAUAACAGUACCUACUUCACAGGGCUGUUAUGAGGCUCAAAUGCAAGAAUAUAUGUAAGCAACUAGCUCAAUGCCUGGCAUACAAUUGUAACUGCUAUUACUAUUGUUAUAUGAGCUAUUGAUAUUUUUAUCUGAUCCCAGAUAAUACUCAAUAAUCAAAGUUAAUCUCCAUCUGCUUUUCUGAACCAGGAAUUACUGCUUUAUCCUGGGAUUACUAUAAGGUCAAGAUGGCAAGUGAGUUUCAGCUCAUAUUCCGAGUCACAUGGAUUUCAAGUGAAUGCUUGGGGGCUGGUUGAGAUGCACUGUGCUGUGAUUGAUUGUGACAUGUGCCAAGGGUGUGGAGCCAGGCUUGUUGGUUGGUUCUAAUAUUAGAAUUGGUAAGCCUCUUGUAGUAGUAUCACAGAGACUAACAGCUAUUUUAAUAUUAUAUAAUAAAGCAUAGAGAAAUCAAAAGAAUGGGCUAAGAGUCAGAUGGUCUAAGUUCUAAUUUUAGCUCUGCAACUAACUGGUGAGAAGAUCAGAAUAUGCCACCCCAAAUUAUGACACUUUGGCAUGAAGAUUAUUUUGAGCUGAAAGCAACUGAGAAACAGCAGAAAAAGCUCUCUACCCUACCCCUAUCUGCCUAUAGGCAGGGCAUACAUUUCCCCUUGUAAAGGUGCCCUCUGCCCCAACCCCAUACCAGGAAGAGGAGACAACCCUUAUCACUACAGAUGGGCACUGACUUAAAUCUGCUAAAACAAACCUUAUUGAAGUAACCCUUGUCUUCCAUUAGUUCCCACAUAUAUUUACCUUCCCACAAUAUAUGGCCCCUAGAAGCCUCAAACCAUUUUCCUUUAUCUUGUCACUUCUCCAUAAGUUUAUUGCCCUUUGUUAAAAUGGUAUAUAAGCCUCCAGAUCUGAUGACCUUCUUGGGGGUAUUCACUUAAUUUCUGUGAGGCCCCCUCACAUACAUAUAAAAUAAUCCUUUUUCUCCCGUUAACCUGUCUUUUGUAAGUUUAUUUUGUGGGGCCCCAGACACUGAAUAUAAGCGGGUAGAGGAAGAAGUUGGGUUUUUUCCUCUCUAACACUGAGUAAGUGAUUUUAAUCCAGUCACUUCUCUUUCUCUGUGAAGUUAUUUCCCAUUGAAGUACUGUGAUUUGCUGAUAAUUGAUUUUUUAAAAUGUAAGUAAAGUGAAACACAUAUAGCUAUGACAGGGCCUGGGGUACAGGAUGGGUAUUUGUUAUGAUUAUUUGAAAGAAAAAUAAAAGCACAAGGCUAUUAUAUGGAAGUGUAACAGUUAAAUAUUUUCUGUCCUCAUUCAAAAAGAUUGACUCUUCCUAUCAAUGAGGAAUAUAUUCACAAUGAGAUAAAAUUGCAAUAUUUUUGGCACUAAAAAAAAAUCAGCAAAUGCUUAGUAAUUCUCCAAGAAAGACAAGACUGUUGUGAAUAUGGGGGCUCUUUAAUAACCAAGGCACCAUUUAAAAAUAGCUAGAAUUAAUUACAGGGCUAAUGACCCAUUGAAAGGCUUAUUUAAAUACCAAAGCCAGCACUGAACAAUCAUGGAAAAUAUGACUUAAAAGGGCUUUAGAGAGCAGAAACCAGGAACCGCAGUUCAAACAAAAAACACAUUAUCCUAGAACUCUAGCUACUUUGGUGAGAAACAUUCAGGAUGCGAAAAAUCUCAGGGGAGUUCUCAGGCUGGGUAAGAGAAGCCACUAGGAUCAACAGAAAGACAAGAAGAUGACACAUACGGUCACCUGUUUGGAAAAGAAGGACUGCCAUUUAGCAUUCACCCAAAGAGAAGAGAGAAGAGCCCUUCAAAAACCAUUCUCCCCCAAUCAUCAAGGCUUUCUUUCCCCCACGCUCACCCCCUGGUUUUCUGAUGUACCCACCCAUUUUUAAUGUACCAUAGGAUAAAAUUAAAAUUUCCACAGAGAGGAAAAAAUAUAUUGUAAUAAGUCUCUGUGGCCACUUUAGAGCUGCAUUAUCUCCAAGAGCUUCCUGUGUCUUGGUCCUCUGUGCCCUGCAUCCAUGCCAUCAUAAGCCAAAGAAGAGGUGAUAAUCUUCAGCGUGCCCUACUUGCCAGGCAAAAAUGAUGCCACUGCAGUUCUUAGCUUCUCUCUGUACCAAAAUGGCCUUUCUGUAUGUCAGUAUCCUGGGAGCACACCAGGUGGCCAGAGCUGAAACAGUUUCAUUACUUCAUUCAUGCCCAUUGAUUAAAUGCAUUACUCUUACCCUUAUUUACUGUGGCCUAGACAUGCCUUGUAGUUGCCUUGCUAAGUUAAAAGUGUCAUAAAAUCAAAAGGUUCCAAAGCCCUUGAGAGCUCAAGGUGGGGAGGUAGGAGAGGGAGUGGGGCACUCUCGACAUAUAUUGGUUUCAAGGAGCAAAUAUAAAUUUUAGUAUAAAUUGCUGUUCACAAUAACGCUUUUAAACCAGCAAUUGUUUACACUGUACUACUCGAGGAACCCUAUAAUUAUUCUGAAAGCACUUGCCAACGUCUACCCUGUUUCAUAAUUGCCAACACAGCCUUGUUCAAAAGAAUUAGUGGCAAUGUUAAAAUUCUGUUUGGUACUAGGUUACUGUUUGAAACAAUUAGUGAUUGCACGAUGCUGGGAUAUGCAAGCAGAAUGGGGCCAAUAAAGUACCCUAAGAAUGAAGUGGUCUUGUGUUCAUAUUCACAGGUGGGAAGAAAAGGAAGGUGGUGGCUGAAACGGAAAAAAAACUGCUUGAAUUUUUUUUUCCUUUUUUCUUACUACUUUCCCAAGAAAUACUGUCAUCUGUUGAGCAAAAUGACUUUAAGAAAAUGUUUUUUCAAAUGCUGGAAAUGGUAGUGAUUUGAAGGAAAAAAGAUAACCCACUUCUCCCUCUUCCCCACUCCUUCUUGCCUGGAAAAUAUGUUUCUAUUUCCGGCCUUUACUCCUGAUAUUUGUAAGUGAAUCUGGGUAGUGAUUGUGGAACCUCGGCUUACACAUCUCAAAACACCCAUCUGUGCAGGUCACUGGACUUUGCUGACCUAUUUUCUGCUGUUUCUUUCUGUUACACAAAUCUCCCCCACUUGAAAGAGCAAUAGUCCCUCUACUUUCCAAUGAAGCACAGACAGCAGAGAGAUUUCUCACUCUCUGUAAAUGCAAAAGCUUUUGGAAUGUCUGGCAUUUCAG